CAGUCGCCGCGGUAAUACGUAGGUGGCAAGCGUUGUCCGGAAUUAUUGGGCGUAAAGGGCCCGCAGGCGGUUUCUUAAGUCUGAUGUGAAAGCCCACGGCUCAACCGGGGAGGGUCAUUGGAAACUGGGAAACUUGAGUGCAGAAGAGGAGAGUGGAAUUCCACGUGUAGCGGUGAAAUGCGUAGAGAUGUGGAGGAACACCAGUGGCGAAGGCGACUCCCUGGUCUGUAACUGGCGCUGAGGAGCGAAAGCGUGGGGAGCGAACAGGAUUAGAUACCCGCGUAGUCCCUGUCUCUUAUAC
This 301-nucleotide ribosomal RNA is filed under the name uncultured bacterium. Its description in RNAcentral is "partial 16S ribosomal RNA". It matches the Rfam family "Bacterial small subunit ribosomal RNA", at positions 509 to 807 of the family's 1533-position model. The record is from RNAcentral.